UUAUAUUAUAUACUUCCUCAACAACCGUAGAAAGUUAAGAUACCUUAGGUUAUUUGCCACUUUCAAUAAGAAUUGAAAUUUACUCAUUUCUCAACAAGCAUCAAAUAUAUAGCCAAUAAGUUCUAACUAUCUAACUAGUAUACAUAUUCCUAAAACUAAUGAAGGGAAAUAAAACAUGACAAACAUAUGAGUCUUCCUAAUCUGAGUGGCAAACCAUGAGCUCUUAGCCAAGACCUGUUCCGGCGUCCUUGCGAGGUGCAUCGGCCUUAAUCCGGGGAGGCCUGACAACUCGAUCAAUGAGCCCAUAUUCAAGAGCCUCCUGUGCAUUGAAGCGCUUCAUUCUGCUCAGGUUUUGGUGAGUAAUUUGGUCGAGCAAAUAAACAGUCAUGAGAUACAAUGACAGAAGUUAUACAAAUUGUUGGUGCAGUGGAAGCGAUCGUUGUGCAGCGUUGGUCACAAGUAAUCAAAUAAAGUGCAUAGGAUAAAUAGAAGAGAAGAAACAAAGAAUUUUGUA
This is a non-coding RNA of Lupinus albus (white lupine), 514 nucleotides long. The record is from the annotation of a GenBank genome assembly. Lineage: Eukaryota; Viridiplantae; Streptophyta; Magnoliopsida; Fabales; Fabaceae.